This is a non-coding RNA of Paramisgurnus dabryanus, 325 nucleotides long. NCBI's taxonomy places the organism in Eukaryota, Metazoa, Chordata, Actinopteri, Cypriniformes, Cobitidae. The record is from RefSeq and is a predicted model, not a curated record.
UAAGAAAACAUAUCACUAGAUAUUACAUAUUAGAUGUUCAUGUCUGACUCUGAUCCAUACGAAACAGAUUUUCUGUCCUGGGACACUCGGCUAACCAUCAAGAAAGAACACACUCCAGUGGGCAUCCUUUAUCCAUCCAGACCCUCAUACAGAUGGUUGGAGUUUUGAUUCACCUAAAGUACCAUGCAAGAGCACUCAUUUUCCCUCUUGAGACCAUGGUGUGACCUGCAAGGUCGAAUGGAGACUGUAAACAAGACAAUCUUGGAGUCACCUGCAUUCACUGGUCCAGUUGUUAGUCCAAUUACAGAUGGAGAUUGUAGAAGAG